GGCCUCGUGGCCCAAUGGUCAAGGCGCCUGACUACGGAUCAGGAGAUUCCAGGUUCGACUCCUGGCGGGGUCA
Non-coding RNA from Schizosaccharomyces osmophilus, 73 nucleotides. The record is from the annotation of a RefSeq genome assembly. Lineage: Eukaryota; Fungi; Ascomycota; Schizosaccharomycetes; Schizosaccharomycetales; Schizosaccharomycetaceae.